This is a long non-coding RNA of Vicia villosa (hairy vetch), 361 nucleotides long. RefSeq lists it as uncharacterized. Lineage: Eukaryota; Viridiplantae; Streptophyta; Magnoliopsida; Fabales; Fabaceae. The record is from RefSeq and is a predicted model, not a curated record. The transcript is spliced from 2 exons.
GACAUGUGUAAGAAUAAUGUCUAAUUAUCUUCAAAGAUGGAUACUUCAAAGAUUUAUGUUCUUAUAACGUUAUAUUUAUUAGUUUUCUGCAUCUUUACAUCAGAUAUGUGUACGAAAUCUCAAGGAAGAGAACUUGAUAAUCAAACACCUUGUACUAGAGAUGAAGAUUGCGAAGCUGGAUGUCCUGCAAAUCAAGGGCUAUGUAUUCGCGGGCGAUGUUGGUGCAUUGAUGCAAACAAUUUAGAUAAUAUUACUCCUAGUUUAAUACCUAAAAAUGCAGGCUGAGUAAUUGAAUAUUAUAACGCAAUCAUUUUGUUUGAAUAAAAAUAAGAUACAGGAAUAAUAUUUAUAAUAAAAUUAA